UGUCUGGCCCUGAGACAAUACUGUCAAAGGGAGACCACAGACCAUUGCCUGGUGGAAGACAGAUUUUUCUUCUGUGGCUUAGGGCGAUGAAGCCAACAGUGGUUCAGGCAGUUUUUUUCUUUUUUUCAGUGACACUGAAAGUCACGGCCACAUCCAUAGUGACCCAAACUGGUGGUGUUGACGGCUGUUUCUCAAACCCGCCUUGUAUACAGCAGCAAUAGUCUGAAUGAGCAGCUCAAAGCUGCUCCCAGGUUUCAGAUCGGUUCAUACCGGAUCAGAUUGUGGAGGGAGGUCCUGUCGGGGUCAGGAACAUGUUGCUGGUCUGCGUGGUGGUAAAUGAUUGUGUGCCUGGGGGAAAGCGAUGCGUGAGACUGGAGGUAAGGGCGUGGACUUUCGUGUGCCAUGGGCCUCGUUUCGUAUCUUUACUAUAGCUGCGGGGCUCUGGCGCAUUGUCCGAUCUCUCGAAAACCUUGUUUGCGCGUUUGUAAAAUGGUAAUGACACAGUGGGGAUCUCAUGGCGUUGUGCGCGGAUUAGCUGAGUGACACAAAAAAGCUCUGUGCACCGUGCCUGGCACCUGGUGGAAGUCAAUAAAUGUGUGUUUAGUGGUGAAAGCUGAGCAGCCUUUGAGAUAAGCUGAGCAGAUGAGCUCCUAAUGGUGCCAGCCCGUGCCAGCAGCCAGUCUGAGAGCCCCCUGCAACUCUUGACGUUUUCCUUGAAAUCUGUUUGAGUCACUAAUUGUACAAGCUAGGGUUCUUGGCUGUGAAGCAAUACAGACCAACUUUAGUUAAUUUAAACAGAGAAGCAUACAGCUGGUCACCGCUAUCACUGGACCACACUGCGUAGAUUGCUCUGUGGACACCUUUGACACUGGACCUCGGGAUGGCCACUAGAACUAAAGUGGUGACUAACUUCCCCCGCUGGCCCCACCCACAGCAGAACGGAUUCCUCGGGAACCCUUUUUGUCACCAUGAGCUCCAGCUACAAACCUGGAGCGGGUGAGUUGGACUGGCACCUUUGGCACCCCUUGAAGUCACUCUUUGGGGAAAGAUGGGCUCUUCUUGUUCAGACUUUCUGCACUACUGCCCCCUAGGGGCUGCCCAAUUCUGUGGUGGGGAUCCAGUCCGUUCCAGCACCUGGGACCCAUGACUCCAGAAGAGAUGCUUGAGGACUGGACAGUGGCGGGGCUCUGGAUAUUUCAGCCCACCCGUCUGUAAUGGUCUCAGUCUUCCCUAAAGCUCAGAAGGUGGGAACUGAAUUGGUGAGAGGACGAAAUGAGGCAAUGCUACCAAAAGAGUUUUGCAAACAAAAACCCCCGUGCAAAGAGGAGGUGCAACUGUGGUGUAUGGACGCAUCCUAGCUCUCCAGCAUGUGAUGAAUUUGCACACGUCCUGGGCGGCUGGAAGUACUCAGCUCCGGGUAGAAAUAAAAAGGAAAACAGACGAGCAUCUGCUGAAGGCCCCAUUCCAAGUCUGGGAGACUUGCGAACGGAGAAGAAUACAAAACGAUGACUACCUAAUUUCUAGGGCUCUUCCUCAGGCCUUGGAAGCGGUUUACUCUGAUUCUGCAAUUAGAAGCUGUGUGACCCCGGGGUGAUCACUUAACCUGUCUGAGACUCAAGCCUCCAGCUGGACAAAUGAAGAUAGUUAUAGCUAACUUCAGGAGUGAGUUUCCUUGAAGCUAAAUAUUUGCUCUCCCUUGGAAUUAUGAUGAGGUGGCCUGUGUGACUCAAAAUUGAAAUGAUAAGAGAUUGACAGUGGAAAUAGGUGAAUAAAAUAAUGAGCGAGUGUCUACGGGGGUAUAAGCACGUGGAAGCAAUACUGAAAUUUAGGAUGGCUGUGAACAGACACCCCGAAGGGAAAUAUGAACACCAUCCAAUAGGAAUCUAAGAGAAAGUGACCAAGCAGUGGAACAGACUAGGGCAAGUGCACUAGUUAAUUCAAGAACGCCCAUCCUGCUCAGGUCAAAAGCUUCACGUCAGGGUUUGAAAUGAUUCCUGCCAAGAGCCACAAAUGGAAGGGGAGACAAGACGCCCAGUCCCCAGAGGAAGGAGGAGUCACUGAGAGCAUCGUGCAGAGAAAACAGGAGGCCCCAAUGCUGAAAAUUUUAAUGUGUGAUAUUAAGAAAAUAAAUCAGAUUUUUGGAACCAAAA
Long non-coding RNA from Leopardus geoffroyi (Geoffroy's cat), 2150 nucleotides. RefSeq lists it as uncharacterized. The transcript is spliced from 2 exons. The record is from RefSeq and is a predicted model, not a curated record. Lineage: Eukaryota; Metazoa; Chordata; Mammalia; Carnivora; Felidae.